GACGAACGCUGGCGGCGUGCUUAACACAUGCAAGUCGAACGGAAAGGCCCUGCGUUUGUGGGGUGCUCGAGUGGCGAACGGGUGAGUAACACGUGAGUAACCUGCCCUUGACUGUGGGAUAACUUCAGGAAACUGGGGCUAAUACCGGAUAGGAGCUCCUGCUGCAUGGUGGGGGUUGGAAAGUUUCGGCGGUGUGGGAUGGACUCGAGGCUUAUCAGCUUGUUGGUGGGGUAGUGGCUUACCAAGGCUUUGACGGGUAGCCGGCCUGAGAGGGUGACCGGCCACCUUGGGCCUGCGGUACGGACCAGUCUCCUACGGGAGGCAACAGUGGGGAAUAUUGCGCAGUGGGCGGACGCCUGAUGCAGCAGCGCCGCGUGCGGGAUGACGGCCUUCGGGUUGUAAACCGCUUUCGCCUGUGACGAAGCGUGAGUGACGGUAAUGGGUAAAGAAGCACCGGCUAACUACGUG
Molecule: ribosomal RNA, 468 nt
Filed under: uncultured bacterium
Lineage: Bacteria
Description: partial 16S ribosomal RNA
Rfam family: Bacterial small subunit ribosomal RNA
Source: RNAcentral